Scophthalmus maximus (turbot) is the source of this 119-nucleotide ribosomal RNA. Lineage: Eukaryota; Metazoa; Chordata; Actinopteri; Pleuronectiformes; Scophthalmidae. The record is from Ensembl.
GCUUACGGCCACACCGCCUGGUUCACGCCCAAUCUCGUUUGAUCUCGGAAGCUAAGAAAGGGUGGGCCUGGUUAGUACUUGGAUGGGAGACCGCCUGGGAAUACCAGAUGCUGUAAGCU